Molecule: ribosomal RNA, 450 nt
Filed under: Fusobacterium naviforme
Lineage: Bacteria; Fusobacteriati; Fusobacteriota; Fusobacteriia; Fusobacteriales; Fusobacteriaceae
Description: bacterial SSU rRNA
Rfam family: Bacterial small subunit ribosomal RNA
Source: RNAcentral
GAUGAACGCUGACAGAAUGCUUAACACAUGCAAGUCAACUUGAAUUUGGGUUUUUAACUUAGGUUUGGGUGGCGGACGGGUGAGUAACGCGUAAAGAACUUGCCUCACAGGUAGGGACAACAUUUGGAAACGAAUGCUAAUACCUAAUAUUAUGAUAAUAGGGCAUCGUAUAAUUAUGAAAGCUAUAUGCGCUGUGAGAGAGCUUUGCGUCCCAUUAGCUAGUUGGAGAGGUAACGGCUCACCAAGGCGAUGAUGGGUAGCCGGCCUGAGAGGGUGAUCGGCCACAAGGGGACUGAGACACGGCCCUUACUCCUACGGGAGGCAGCAGUGGGGAAUAUUGGACAAUGGACCGAGAGUCUGAUCCAGCAAUUCUGUGUGCACGAUGAAGUUUUUCGGAAUGUAAAGUGCUUUCAGUUGGGAAGAAAAAAAUGACGGUACCAACAGAAGAAG